GGAGUAAAAUCCACCUCUAUUAUAGAGUUCCUCAAUUAUAGAGACAAAAAUAGAGGACCAUUGGAGAUGCUCUUAGAAACUAUAAAAUACAUUGAAGAAAUUUCAAAACCCAAUGAAAAAAGCAAAGUGAUGAGUCAAUGAUCCCUUCAAAAGAUCAGAGCUCUAUUCAAGUCGUUUCUUCACGAGGGAGAGUUGUUGUUACUGGGAUGGUAUCCGGUUCCAGAAUUCAGGUUUCCUAUGUUUCUUAAAAAGAAGCCGUCUAAGGGAAAACAUAAUGACACUUGGGGAAUUUCAUUCCAAGUCAUGGGAGGUAAAAUCUACUCCAAACAAGAGUAACCUGAAUUCAAGUCUCUCUCAGUGGAACAAUGAUGUGAACCGAGUUUCAUGUGUCAAAUCUGCUUCAGGACCUUUCAAGAAAGAACAGCAAGGACCAUUUAAAACCGAUUUUCAAUGAGGUGGAUCAAGACUACAUGGAGUCAGAGAACUUAGACUCAUCUGGAGAUAGCUCAGACGAUAAUAAUCGAGUUGAUCUACCACGCAAAGUGCAAUGAGAAGGAAGCAUCAUCGAGCUUGGACUGUCAUUGAAGUUAAAAAAACUUGUCGAAGGUGUGACGAAAUAUGGAGUAGGGAAAUGGUCUGAGAUCAAAAAGGUUUCAUUUUCAUCAUUCGUGUACCGUACCCCUGUGGAUCUCAAGGGACAAAUGGCGAAAUUUAUGAAGAGCAUGCUUUUCUCAAACUCCGUCAAACAAGAUGGGAUGUCCAAAGAAGCAGGGGUCAAUGGCCAUUCCUACACACAUUAUGUUGCAGGUAAGAGAGCUUGCUCAGAAACAGUCACCGGUGCGCAAGGGUAGUAGAGUAGUAGUGAAGGGAUCAUCAAGAAAUGGUUUCUUGUAGCGUUUUGUUUCGUAUAAAUUGACCGGCCUGGAUGUGAGAUUAACUACUCUUUUAGUUUGGAUUUUGUAGACUUAAAGGUAUUGUGAUUUAAACCGGAUUACUAACUGGUGUUAUUGUAAUUGAUAUGAGAUGGUUCCUUACUAUG
This is a non-coding RNA of Camelina sativa (false flax), 1039 nucleotides long. The record is from RefSeq and is a predicted model, not a curated record. NCBI's taxonomy places the organism in Eukaryota, Viridiplantae, Streptophyta, Magnoliopsida, Brassicales, Brassicaceae.